UGUUGGGAUUCUAGUGGAGUAAAAUAACUAGGUAUGCACGACAUAUCGGCAGCAAUAUUAGUAUCGGCCGAUGUUGGUAAUUUUUUAACAUAUCAGUCCGAUAUGUAAAAUUGGGCUUUGAAAAAUUGUUUCUAUUUUCUGAAUUUCUAUGAAUCGGUGCUGAAAGGCAAAAAGUAGACUAUAAAGUCUGUGUGAUCACUAGUGAAAUACUUCAUGAACCACUGGACAGAUUUUAAAGAAACUACUGAAAGCAGUGAACAUUUAUAGCUGAUAAACAUUUGAAGUUAACCCAGAAAUAGAUGGUAGCCACAUCCACCUGAAAUAUAAAUACACAGAGCUAGCUAAAACUCAGUCAGUUCUACUGAUAUUGAGCUAUAGAGUUAUUCACCACUUACUCCAAAUCUUGCAAUGAGAUUGUGCCUGAUGUUAUUUUUAUGAUUUUACCUAAAUUACCGAUAUAAGAUUAUCUUACUUAGAAACUUUUACAAGAGAUUGUUGUGUGACGGGGUGAGUACUCCCUCUUCUCCACAACAUCUUUGUAAGACUGUCAUUCCAGGAGAGGGCACUCACCAGCUGUGGGGCAUUACCGAUCAGCGGCAGCUGCAGAUCCUCUAAUCAACCGCAGCAGAGCUCUAUUUAAGAGGAGAGGGAACCACUUCACAUCGCUGGAUGAUUAACUACUCACGGAUACUUGGAAUCGCUGAACCACAGAUGGAUGUACCUACCUGGAAGUCACCAUAACCCGCCUGGAUUACACACUCAAGGUUCACCUCUCCUCCAGCUUCACUUGCCCUCUGCCGCCAUCAUCUGGCUCCCUCUCCUGGACGUACCCCGUCACACCGUUUGCCCUCCCUGCUGGCUUUUGGACUCUUGCCGACUACUUCACACUUGGAUAUCUCCAGGACACUUUCAGUUAGGGUUAAUAAAUCAUUGUUUGAACUUUC
Molecule: long non-coding RNA, 944 nt
Organism: Nothobranchius furzeri (turquoise killifish)
Lineage: Eukaryota; Metazoa; Chordata; Actinopteri; Cyprinodontiformes; Nothobranchiidae
Source: RefSeq, a predicted model, not a curated record